GCCAGCUAUAGCACAUCGAUCUCUUGGAAAGCCCGAGACCAAAUCCCCGCUUAACUCCUCAAAGAUUUUCCUGGCUCUAAAAAUCUCCAUCCGCUGCAGCUACCUUCUGUGCAUAUAUACACACGCACUCCCUCCCCCUCAGCUUGCCUCCAUGGGGUUACCCCUCCUCACACCCAGCUCUCUCUCUUGCUUGAUGAGCUUGAGCUAGGCUACCCCUGCGCUCCAGCCUCUCCAUCCUCUCCUUGCUGCUUCUACUUUUGGUUCGUGUGGUUUGUUUUGAGACGCAGAGACAGAUGGAACGCACGGGGGAGCUCUACACCAUUGCGGUGGAGAGGAUGAGUUUAGGGAUAGUCAAGCCAUGUAGGCGGGUAUUGUUCCAUCAAGGGAUGAGCAAUGAACUUUAUCUUGGACAAGGAGUUUUAAUAAAAAUAGUUUAUGUCUAAUAAUAGCAUGGCGUUAUCCUAACUGAGCUUUUCUUCUAGUUACCAUUCUCAUCCUUCUUCAUAUUUUUUACAUCACUUUAUGUUAGGUUUGAUAAGGUUCGGUCUUCUUGACCUUGCAAGACCUUUUCUUGACCUUGUAAGACCCAACACUGCGAUGUUGCUUUUCUUAAUUUUUAUUUUUCGAUUUCAUCCAAUUCUCUUUUUCAUCUCUCAUCUUGCUUCUAUCUCUUGCCUUCUUUUUCUGUCUAUCCCUCCUGAGCUGUAU
This is a long non-coding RNA of Oryza brachyantha (malo sina), 708 nucleotides long. RefSeq lists it as uncharacterized. Lineage: Eukaryota; Viridiplantae; Streptophyta; Magnoliopsida; Poales; Poaceae. The record is from RefSeq and is a predicted model, not a curated record. The transcript is spliced from 3 exons.